This 368-nucleotide ribosomal RNA is filed under the name uncultured organism. RNAcentral's name for it is "bacterial LSU rRNA". It matches the Rfam family "Bacterial large subunit ribosomal RNA", at positions 2099 to 2465 of the family's 2925-position model. The record is from RNAcentral.
CUUUACUGCAGCCUGGAAUUGUGUUCGGGCUUCGCUUGCGCAGGAUAGGUGGGAGACUGAGAAGUGUGCCUUGUGGGGCACAUAGAGUCAACGGUGAGAUACCACUCUGUCAGAGCUAGAAUUCUAACCUUCACCCGUGAUCCGGGGAAGGAACCGUAUCAGGUGGGCAGUUUGACUGGGGCGGUCGCCUCCUAAAAGGUAACGGAGGCGCGCAAAGGUGUUCUCAGGCUGGUUGGAAAUCAGCCGUAGAGUGUAAAGGCAGAAGAACGCUUGACUGUGAGAGUGACAACUCAAGCAGGGUGGAAACACGGCCUUAGUGAUCCGACGGUAUGCGCGUGGAAGUGCCGUCGCUCAACGGAUAAAAGUUA